This 253-nucleotide ribosomal RNA is filed under the name uncultured bacterium. RNAcentral describes it as "partial 16S ribosomal RNA". It matches the Rfam family "Bacterial small subunit ribosomal RNA", at positions 524 to 776 of the family's 1533-position model. RNAcentral also lists the same sequence under 1 other name. The record is from RNAcentral.
UACGUAGGUGGCAAGCGUUGUCCGGAGUUACUGGGUGUAAAGGGCGUGUAGGCGGGAAGAUAAGUCAGAUGUGAAAUUCCAUGGCUCAACUGUGGCGCUGCAUCUGAAACUAUUUUUCUUGAGUGAUGGAGAGGAAAGUGGAAUUCCUAGUGUAGCGGUGAAAUGCGUAGAUAUUAGGAGGAACACCAGUGGCGAAGGCGACUUUCUGGACAUUAACUGACGCUGAGGCGCGAAAGCGUGGGGAGCAAACAGG